UGUUACUACAUGCUGGCCUGUGCCACAAUCAGGUGUCACCUGUUCAAUCAGGACACACACCAUCCACCAGUGUUACUACAUGCUGGCCUGUGUCACAAUCAGGUGUCACCUGUUCAAUCAGGACACACACCAUCCACCAGUGUUACUACAUGCUGGCCUGUGCCACAAUCAGGUGUCACCUGUUCAAUCAGGACACACACCAACCACCAGUGUUACUACAUGCUGGUCUGUGUCACAAUCAGGUGUAACCUGUUCAAUCAGGACACACACCAUCCACCAGUGUUACUACAUGCUGGCCUGUGCCACAAUCAGGCGUAACCUGUUCUAUCAGGACACACACCAUCCACCAGUGUUACUACAUGCUGGUGUGAAGCCCAUUUCUGGUGUUCACUAGGUACAUGCUGGUCUCUGUCAGAUUUGCAUUGGAAGUUACAAAUCUCAGCACUACACUGUCGCAAGUGUAAGUAUAUGCAAAGAUCACUUUGUACAACAGUACCAUGUUAAAAAAGGCUUAGAUAUAAUACCAGAGAAUAAUCAGUUUCAGAUAUCUGCCCAAAUAAAUUCUAUUCUACUGACCAUCGUAUCCCACUUGCGUUGACUGAUGCAUAUGCUGUUGAUCACUGGAUUGUCUGGUCCAGACACGAUUAUUUACAGACCGACGCCAUAUAGCUGGAAUAUUGCUGAGUGCGGCGUUCAACAACUAUCUUACCAACCAACCAACCAAUUUAAAUCUAUUCAAUCACUCUGAUCUGCUCAUUAUUUGAUUCCAUUCACAGGGAAAGAAGCAUGUGAUAUGUGGUACAGUGAAAUCAGCAAAUACGACUACAACAAAGCUGGCUACUCAAAUGGAACGGGUCACUUCACACAGAUGGUAUGGAAGAGCAGCAAGGAACUGGGUGUCGGUAUCGCUAAGGGACAUGGCCGGAAGAUAUCGUUGUAGCCAACUAUGUACGCCUGGGAACUGCGGGGCAGUUCCAGAACAAUGUAUUCCCACCAAAAUAAAUGUCUUUUAUUGUGAUUGAAUAUCGUUUACAA
Long non-coding RNA from Haliotis rubra (blacklip abalone), 1035 nucleotides. RefSeq lists it as uncharacterized. The transcript has 2 exons. Lineage: Eukaryota; Metazoa; Mollusca; Gastropoda; Lepetellida; Haliotidae. The record is from RefSeq and is a predicted model, not a curated record.